AAUGAACGCUAGUAGUAUGCUUAACACAUGCAAGUCGAACGAAAGUUUUACACCUUCGUGGCGUACGGGUGAGUAAAUGCAGAAUUCUUCCUUCCAGUUCAGUACAAAAUUGCUUCUAGUAAUAAAUUCUGAAUAUUUUUAAAGGUUUAUUCCGCUGAAAGAUGAAUCUGCUUAAGAUUAGGUUGUUGGUAAUUUAAAAGCUUACCAAGCCGAUGAUCUUUAGUUGGUCUGAGAGGAUGAUCAACCACACUGGAACUGAAACAAGGUCCAGGCUAAUUCGUUGGCCAGCAGUGAGGAAUAUUGGAGUCAAUGAACGAAAGUUUGAUCCAGC
This 331-nucleotide ribosomal RNA is filed under the name uncultured bacterium. Its description in RNAcentral is "bacterial SSU rRNA". It matches the Rfam family "Bacterial small subunit ribosomal RNA", at positions 29 to 392 of the family's 1533-position model. The record is from RNAcentral.